This 565-nucleotide ribosomal RNA is filed under the name uncultured Glomeromycotina. RNAcentral's name for it is "SSU rRNA". It matches the Rfam family "Eukaryotic small subunit ribosomal RNA", at positions 548 to 1114 of the family's 1831-position model. The record is from RNAcentral. Lineage: Eukaryota; Fungi; Glomeromycota.
UUGGAGGGCAAGUCUGGUGCCCGCAGCCGCGGUAUUCCAGCUCCAAUAGCGUAUAUUAAAGUUGUUGCAGUUAAGAAGCUCGUAGUUGAAUUACGGAAUCAGUGGAUCGGUCAUGCCACUCCGUGUGUACUGGUUUGAUUGGUUCUCACCUUCUAAGGAACCGUGAUGUCAUUAAUUUGGUGUCGCGGGGAAUUAGGACUGUUACCUUGAAAAAAUUAGAGUGUUUAAAGCAAGCUCACGCUUGAAUACAUUAGCAUGGAAUAAUGAAAUAGGACAUUGUAUUCUAUUUUGUUGGUUUCUAGGAUCGAUGUAAUGAUUAAUAGGGAUAGUUGGGGGCAUUAGUAUUCAAUUGUCAGAGGUGAAAUUCUUGGGUUUAUUGAAGACUAACUACUGCGAAAGCAUUUGCCAAGGAUGUUUUCAUUAAUCAAGAACGAAAGUUAGGGGAUCGAAGACCAUCAGAUACCGUCGUAGUCUUAACCAUAAACUAUGCCGACUAGGGAUCGGAUGAUGUUAAUUUUUUAAUGACUCAUUCGGCACCUUACGGGAAACCAAAGUGUUUGGGUUC